UUCUUUGUAAAUGAUUAGGCCAAUUAUUCUAGUUGUUUACAAGUAGCUAAGAAAAACUAUGGUUAAAGUCUCAAGUUUGUUUAUCUCCUAGGGUUCUUCUUCUUCUUCUUUCAUCCUUUUUAUUCGUCCAUCAUUUAUUGAAACCAGCGAAUGUGUUGAUGACAAAAAGUAUCCUAAGGUUGGAGGAAAUCGCGGAGGAGACUUUUAAAGUUACUCGGAACCGAUCCCCAACACUCACCAAGGUAAGGGAUAAGUGGCUCUGA
Lupinus albus (white lupine) is the source of this 263-nucleotide non-coding RNA. The record is from the annotation of a GenBank genome assembly. Lineage: Eukaryota; Viridiplantae; Streptophyta; Magnoliopsida; Fabales; Fabaceae.